GCCGUGGCUCAGUGGCAGAGCACAUGCUUUGAAUGUGGAAGGUCCUGAGUUCAAUCCCUCACAGCUCCAGCAGCA
Molecule: non-coding RNA, 75 nt
Organism: Podarcis lilfordi (Lilford's wall lizard)
Lineage: Eukaryota; Metazoa; Chordata; Lepidosauria; Squamata; Lacertidae
Source: the annotation of a GenBank genome assembly